UUUUCGCCUGAAUAAAAGAGGAUGAGAAUCUCCGAAGGAGGGUUGCGCCGAGCGCAGCGAGACAACGUUGCGAAUGCAACGGCCCGAAGGGGGCUUACGCAGUAAGCCUAAUCCUCUCUCGCCGACCA
Molecule: small RNA, 128 nt
Filed under: Pantoea ananatis
Lineage: Bacteria; Pseudomonadati; Pseudomonadota; Gammaproteobacteria; Enterobacterales; Erwiniaceae
Description: RtT sRNA
Rfam family: RtT RNA
About the family: This family represents a bacterial cis-regulatory element known as RtT RNA. The exact function of RtT is unknown although it is thought that it may be involved in changing the cellular response in relation to amino acid starvation.
Source: RNAcentral